GGGUUGUGAGGUUAAGCGACUAAGCGUACACGGUGGAUGCCCUGGCAGUCAGAGGCGAUGAAGGACGUGCUAAUCUGCGAUAAGCGUCGGUGAGGUGAUAUGAACCGUUAUAACCGGCGAUUUCCGAAUGGGGAAACCCAGUGUGAUUCGUCACACUAUCAUUAACUGAAUCCAUAGGUUAAUGAGGCGAACCGGGGGAACUGAAACAUCUAAGUACCCCGAGGAAAAGAAAUCAACCGAGAUUCCCCCAGUAGCGGCGAGCGAACGGGGAGGAGCCCAGAGCCUGAAUCAGUGUGUGUGUUAGUGGAAGCGUCUGGAAAGGCGUGCGAUACAGGGUGACAGCCCCGUACACAAAAAUGCACAUAUUGUGAGCUCGAUGAGUAGGGCGGGACACGUGGUAUCCUGUCUGAAUAUGGGGGGACCAUCCUCCAAGGCUAAAUACUCCUGACUGACCGAUAGUGAACCAGUACCGUGAGGGAAAGGCGAAAAGAACCCCGGCGAGGGGAGUGAAAAAGAACCUGAAACCGUGUACGUACAAGCAGUGGGAGCCUCUUAAUGGGGUGACUGCGUACCUUUUGUAUAAUGGGUCAGCGACUUAUAUUCUGUAGCAAGGUUAACCGAAUAGGGGAGCCGAAGGGAAACCGAGUCUUAACUGGGCGUUAAGUUGCAGGGUAUAGACCCGAAACCCGGUGAUCUAGCCAUGGGCAGGUUGAAGGUUGGGUAACACUAACUGGAGGACCGAACCGACUAAUGUUGAAAAAUUAGCGGAUGACUUGUGGCUGGGGGUGAAAGGCCAAUCAAACCGGGAGAUAGCUGGUUCUCCCCGAAAGCUAUUUAGGUAGCGCCUCGUGAAUUCAUCUCCGGGGGUAGAGCACUGUUUCGGCAAGGGGGUCAUCCCGACUUACCAACCCGAUGCAAACUGCGAAUACCGGAGAAUGUUAUCACGGGAGACACACGGCGGGUGCUAACGUCCGUCGUGAAGAGGGAAACAACCCAGACCGCCAGCUAAGGUCCCAAAGUCAUGGUUAAGUGGGAAACGAUGUGGGAAGGCCCAGACAGCCAGGAUGUUGGCUUAGAAGCAGCCAUCAUUUAAAGAAAGCGUAAUAGCUCACUGGUCGAGUCGGCCUGCGCGGAAGAUGUAACGGGGCUAAACCAUGCACCGAAGCUGCGGCAGCGACACUAUGUGUUGUUGGGUAGGGGAGCGUUCUGUAAGCCUGUGAAGGUGGCCUGUGAGGGUUGCUGGAGGUAUCAGAAGUGCGAAUGCUGACAUAAGUAACGAUAAAGCGGGUGAAAAACCCGCUCGCCGGAAGACCAAGGGUUCCUGUCCAACGUUAAUCGGGGCAGGGUGAGUCGACCCCUAAGGCGAGGCCGAAAGGCGUAGUCGAUGGGAAACAGGUUAAUAUUCCUGUACUUGGUGUUACUGCGAAGGGGGGACGGAGAAGGCUAUGUUGGCCGGGCGACGGUUGUCCCGGUUUAAGCGUGUAGGCUGGUUUUCCAGGCAAAUCCGGAAAAUCAAGGCUGAGGCGUGAUGACGAGGCACUACGGUGCUGAAGCGACAAAUGCCCUGCUUCCAGGAAAAGCCUCUAAGCAUCAGGUAACAUCAAAUCGUACCCCAAACCGACACAGGUGGUCAGGUAGAGAAUACCAAGGCGCUUGAGAGAACUCGGGUGAAGGAACUAGGCAAAAUGGUGCCGUAACUUCGGGAGAAGGCACGCUGAUAUGUAGGUGAAGCGACUUGCUCGUGGAGCUGAAAUCAGUCGAAGAUACCAGCUGGCUGCAACUGUUUAUUAAAAACACAGCACUGUGCAAACACGAAAGUGGACGUAUACGGUGUGACGCCUGCCCGGUGCCGGAAGGUUAAUUGAUGGGGUUAGCGGUAACGCGAAGCUCUUGAUCGAAGCCCCGGUAAACGGCGGCCGUAACUAUAACGGUCCUAAGGUAGCGAAAUUCCUUGUCGGGUAAGUUCCGACCUGCACGAAUGGCGUAAUGAUGGCCAGGCUGUCUCCACCCGAGACUCAGUGAAAUUGAACUCGCUGUGAAGAUGCAGUGUACCCGCGGCAAGACGGAAAGACCCCGUGAACCUUUACUAUAGCUUGACACUGAACAUUGAGCCUUGAUGUGUAGGAUAGGUGGGAGGCUUUGAAGUGUGGACGCCAGUCUGCAUGGAGCCGACCUUGAAAUACCACCCUUUAAUGUUUGAUGUUCUAACGUGGGCCCCUUACCGGGGUUGCGGACAGUGUCUGGUGGGUAGUUUGACUGGGGCGGUCUCCUCCUAAAGAGUAACGGAGGAGCACGAAGGUUGGCUAAUCCUGGUCGGACAUCAGGAGGUUAGUGCAAUGGCAUAAGCCAGCUUGACUGCGAGCGUGACGGCGCGAGCAGGUGCGAAAGCAGGUCAUAGUGAUCCGGUGGUUCUGAAUGGAAGGGCCAUCGCUCAACGGAUAAAAGGUACUCCGGGGAUAACAGGCUGAUACCGCCCAAGAGUUCAUAUCGACGGCGGUGUUUGGCACCUCGAUGUCGGCUCAUCACAUCCUGGGGCUGAAGUAGGUCCCAAGGGUAUGGCUGUUCGCCAUUUAAAGUGGUACGCGAGCUGGGUUUAGAACGUCGUGAGACAGUUCGGUCCCUAUCUGCCGUGGGCGCUGGAGAACUGAGGGGGGCUGCUCCUAGUACGAGAGGACCGGAGUGGACGCAUCACUGGUGUUCGGGUUGUCAUGCCAAUGGCACUGCCCGGUAGCUAAAUGCGGAAGAGAUAAGUGCUGAAAGCAUCUAAGCACGAAACUUGCCCCGAGAUGAGUUCUCCCUGACUCCUUGAGAGUCCUGAAGGAACGUUGAAGACGACGACGUUGAUAGGCCGGGUGUGUAAGCGCAGCGAUGCGUUGAGCUAACCGGUACUAAUGAACCGUGAGGCUUAACCUUACAA
RNAcentral lists this ribosomal RNA (2917 nucleotides) under Escherichia coli. Its description in RNAcentral is "partial 23S ribosomal RNA". It matches the Rfam family "Bacterial large subunit ribosomal RNA". Lineage: Bacteria; Pseudomonadati; Pseudomonadota; Gammaproteobacteria; Enterobacterales; Enterobacteriaceae. The record is from RNAcentral.